UUACGUCGGAUGUGAAAACCUGAGGCUCAACCUCAGGCCUGCAUUCGAUACGGGCAAACUAGAGUUUGGUAGGGGAGACUGGAAUUCCUGGUGUAGCGGUGGAAUGCGCAGAUAUCAGGAGGAACACCAAUGGCGAAGGCAGGUCUCUGGGCCAAUACUGACACUGAGGAGCGAAAGUCUGGGGAGCGAACAGGAUUAGAUACCCUGGUAGUCCAGACCGUAAACGGUGGGCACUAGUUGUGGGAACCUUCCACGGUUUCUGCGACGCAGCUAACGCAUUAAGUGCCCCGCCUGGGGAGUACGAUCGCAAGAUUAAAACUCAAAGGAAUUGACGGGGCCCCGCACAAGCAGCGGAGCAUGCGGCUUAAUUCGACGCAACGCGAAGAACCUUACCAAGGCUUGACAUAUAGGGAAAAGUGGCAGAGAUGUCAUGUCCGCAAGGGCUCUAUACAGGUGGUGCAUGGUUGUCGUCAGCUCGUGUCGUGAGAUGUUGGGUUAAGUCCCGCAACGAGCGCAACCCUCGUUCUGUGUUGCCAGCAUUUAGUUGGGGACUCACAGGAGACUGCCGGGGUUAACUCGGAGGAAGGUGGGGAUGACGUCAAAUCAUCAUGCCCCUUAUGUCUUGGGCUGCACGCAUGCUACAAUGGCCGGUACAGAGGGCUGCAAUACCGUAAGGUGGAGCGAAUCCCAAAAAGCCGGUCUCAGUUCGGAUUGAGGUCUGCAACUCGACCUCAUGAAGUUGGAGUUGCUAGUAAUCGUAGAUCAGCAACGCUACGGUGAAUACGUUCCCGGGGCUUGUACACACCGCCCGUCACGUCACGA
RNAcentral lists this ribosomal RNA (822 nucleotides) under freshwater metagenome. RNAcentral describes it as "bacterial SSU rRNA". It matches the Rfam family "Bacterial small subunit ribosomal RNA", at positions 583 to 1407 of the family's 1533-position model. The record is from RNAcentral.